This 60-nucleotide microRNA precursor is filed under the name Gallus gallus (chicken). RNAcentral describes it as "Gga-Mir-1806_pre stem-loop". The record is from RNAcentral. Lineage: Eukaryota; Metazoa; Chordata; Aves; Galliformes; Phasianidae.
UAUUCCUUGCAGGUUUUGCCUGUCGGUUUAAACAGACAAGGCAGGAUCACAAGGUCUGGA